AAUGAACGCUGGUGGCAGGCCUAACACAUGCAAGUCGAACGGAUCCUUCGGGAUUAGUGGCGGACGGGUGAGUAACGCGUGGGAACAUACCCAAAGGUACGGAAUAGCCUCGGGAAACUGGGAGUAAUACCGUAUGUGCUCGAAAGAGGAAAGAUUUAUCGCCUUUGGAUUGGCCCGCGUUGGAUUAGGUAGUUGGUGGGGUAAUGGCCUACCAAGCCGACGAUCCAUAGCUGGUUUGAGAGGAUGAUCAGCCACACUGGGACUGAGACACGGCCCAGACUCCUACGGGAGGCAGCAGUGGGGAAUCUUAGACAAUGGGGGAAACCCUGAUCUAGCCAUGCCGCGUGAUCGAUGAAGGCCUUAGGGAUGUAAAGAUCUUUCAGGUGGGAAGAUAAUGACUGUACCACCAGAAGAAGCCCCGGCUAACUCCGUGCCAGCAGCCGCCGUAA
This 449-nucleotide ribosomal RNA is filed under the name uncultured bacterium. RNAcentral's name for it is "partial 16S ribosomal RNA". It matches the Rfam family "Bacterial small subunit ribosomal RNA", at positions 29 to 523 of the family's 1533-position model. The record is from RNAcentral.